AUUUUUUUGGCUUCCCCCACUAAUCACACUCACAAAAUCAUAACUGUUGCCUUUCUCUUUCUCAAAAUUGCAGAAACAAUUAUAAGAAAACAAUUGCUUCCAUUCUAUUUCUCACAAUUGCAUGGUUUACUUCUACACAAUUUAUUAAACAAUUGAAUAGGAUAAGAAGAAUGUGGAAUCUCUGUGAUCAUUGCAGCCAAGUUUCUGGUGAAGUGGAAACUCUAUUCCUAUUGCUUUUGUUUUCUUUUUUAGUUACAGGAGAGAAAGCGAAACAUGAUAGAGAGUAGAGAGUAUGCUUUGAAUGGUGGCGCCUCUAAAAGGUCUGAUGUCGUUUUCAACUGUCCGUUUAAUUACUAUUUGAUGAAUGUUUCUUUCUACCCUUUCUUCAACUAAUUGUUUUCUCACUUGUUACUUCUAUCAUUGUUCAUCAUCUUUUUAUAUACAGCAGCAUCCAUGGAAAGGAAGUUUGAUCCCCUUUGAAUUUUUCUUAUUUGUAAUCAUGCAUUCUUUUUAAUUCUCAUACUUUCGAUUGGGAAUAAUACUACUUAUACCAAUCUAUAUUUGUGACAACCUACCUUAGUCUUCACAUGCCAAAGCCAAUGAAUCAAACAUUUAUUGAAAAUUACAAUCCUGGAUGAAAAAGUGGUUAUAAUAUUCGUG
Molecule: long non-coding RNA, 660 nt
Filed under: Medicago truncatula (barrel medic)
Lineage: Eukaryota; Viridiplantae; Streptophyta; Magnoliopsida; Fabales; Fabaceae
Description: long non-coding RNA (MTRU_LNC000249)
Source: RNAcentral